RNAcentral lists this ribosomal RNA (774 nucleotides) under uncultured Neocallimastigales. RNAcentral describes it as "partial large subunit ribosomal RNA". It matches the Rfam family "Eukaryotic large subunit ribosomal RNA", at positions 18 to 635 of the family's 3401-position model. Lineage: Eukaryota; Fungi; Neocallimastigomycota; Neocallimastigomycetes; Neocallimastigales. The record is from RNAcentral.
UCAGACGAUGCGUCAUGCAUAUCAAUAAGCGGAGGAAAAGAAACUAACUAGGAUUCCCUCAGUAACGGCGAGUGAAGCGGGAAGAGCUCAAAUUUGAAAUCUUCAAGGUUUUACCUUGACGAAUUGUAGUUUAAAGAAGUGUUUUCUGUUGGAGUUUUGGUAAAAGUUCUUUGGAAAAGGACAUCAUAGAGGGUGAGAAUCCCGUAUUUGACCAUUAUCUCCAGCUUUGUGAUACACUUUCAAAGAGUCGGAUUGUUUGGGAAUGCAGUCCAAAAUGGGUGGUAAAUUUCAUCUAAAGCUAAAUAUUGGCGAGAGACCGAUAGCGAACAAGUACCGUGAGGGAAAGAUGAAAAGAACUUUGAAAAGAGAGUUAAACAGUACGUGAAAUUGUCAAAAGGGAAGCGUUUGACACCAGUGUUGUUUUCUCGAAAAUCAAUUAAAAAGAGUUGGAUUUUGUGUUGUAUUGACCUUAACAGCUUGCUUCACUCUUUUCCUGCUUUUUUUAAUGCACUUUUCGUUUAACAAGUCAACAUCAGUUUCUUUUGUUGUAAAAGGGUCAUUGGAAGGUGGCUUUCUCUUCGGAGAAAGUGUUUAUAGCCUUUGAUCUCUGCAAUCGGAGAGACUGAGGUCUGCAGCGUAGAUCCUUCGGGGUUAGAUACAUUUGUGCUAAGCUACAGCUUUUCAUAGACAACUUGUUGACUAUGUUUAGUCUUGUAACUUACCCGCUUAUGCUAUUUUACCUACGCUUAGGAUGUUGAUAUGCAUGACUGAUAU